UACGAAGGGGGCUAGCGUUGCUCGGAAUCACUGGGCGUAAAGCGCACGUAGGCGGAUCUUUAAGUCAGGGGUGAAAUCCUGGAGCUCAACUCCAGAACUGCCUUUGAUACUGGGGAUCUCGAGUCCGAGAGAGGUGAGUGGAACUGCGAGUGUAGAGGUGAAAUUCGUAGAUAUUCGCAAGAACACCAGUGGCGAAGGCGGCUCACUGGCCCGGUACUGACGCUGAGGUGCGAAAGCGUGGGGAGCAAACAGG
RNAcentral lists this ribosomal RNA (253 nucleotides) under uncultured bacterium. RNAcentral describes it as "partial 16S ribosomal RNA". It matches the Rfam family "Bacterial small subunit ribosomal RNA", at positions 524 to 776 of the family's 1533-position model. The record is from RNAcentral.